UACGGAGGGAGCUAGCGUUGUUCGGAAUUACUGGGCGUAAAGCGCGCGUAGGCGGCUUUGUAAGUUAGAGGUGAAAGCCCGGGGCUCAACUCCGGAAUUGCCUUUAAGACUGCAUCGCUAGAAUCCGGGAGAGGUGAGUGGAGUUCCGAGUGUAGAGGUGAAAUUCGUAGAUAUUCGGAAGAACACCAGUGGCGAAGGCGGCUCACUGGACCGGAACUGACGCUGAGGCGCGAAAGCGUGGGGAGCAAACAGG
This 253-nucleotide ribosomal RNA is filed under the name uncultured bacterium. RNAcentral's name for it is "partial 16S ribosomal RNA". It matches the Rfam family "Bacterial small subunit ribosomal RNA", at positions 524 to 776 of the family's 1533-position model. The record is from RNAcentral.